Molecule: long non-coding RNA, 838 nt
Filed under: Penaeus japonicus
Lineage: Eukaryota; Metazoa; Arthropoda; Malacostraca; Decapoda; Penaeidae
Description: uncharacterized LOC122243978
Source: RNAcentral
AAUAGUCACAGGAGUAUAUAUAAAGCCUUAGACCCAGAUCAUAUACAUUUACUUUGAGGAGAAAGCAGAUUGAUGUUGUAUCACAAAGCAAGUUCAGCGUGUCUUCUGAGUGAUUUACAAGAUGAACAACGCCCUCAUCCUUCUGGUGGCCGUCGGUCUCUCCUGCUUGAUGGCAGCGCAAGCAAUAUCCCCAUCUGGCGUUUUAACAGGACUAGGUGCUCUGACGAGCGCCGUAAGCAGGCGGAGGUACCACGGCGCAAGCCAUGGACGCGGCCAUGGCCAUGGGUAUAGAGCCCCUUCCAGAAGGUACCGUCUUCGCUACGGCCGCUCUAUUGCAACUGCUGAUGAGGAGGAUGACCUUAUUUUAUCCGACCUCCUAUAACGUUUCCUUCGUCAGUGUCAAAAAUGUCGCCACAAAGACUCGAGACUCCUCCGUCUGCAGGAAGUUCUUCCCGAAUAUCCGUUCCACGACGAGGAACUGAGCCAACUCAUGGAACUUGCGUGGAGCUGCGACUAUAACUCGAGCAGGAAAAAGUAUCAAAAGCUUACAUUUACAAACUUUAUGCCGUUCCAGUGUUUGUUAUCAUGCCACAGGUGGGUGAAGAGGGGACUAUUGUCUCGGAGCGUCCGUUGGACAAUUAGGAUCGUAUGUUCACUAGUGGGUCAUAUUUCAAAGAGAAAAAUCCUAGUUGAAAUAUGUCCUACUAGUGUGCGUACAUUAUUUACAGAUAUUCUGUUCAAUUGGUAGAUAACAUUUAUCUAUUCCAUGCCUAUAAAUUAGCAGUUCGUUAAUCCAAAGGCAGAUGUUAUAAUUUCUAUAAUAAAACAAACAAAUAUA